UGAUGGUGAAAUAAUGAAAAACGGAAAAACUACAUUUUUGUGAUAGUUUAAUAAUUUUAGCACAUUGUAUCUAUUAUUCCCUCCACUUUUAUUCAUAACCACCUAUUCUGAUUUUCUUUUUAUUCUCUUAUCUUCAAUCAUAGCCACUCAUUUAAAUUUAUUUUUAUCCUCUUAUCUUCGAUUAUAACAACUUAUUCAAUUUUUUUUUAUUCUCUUAUCUUCAAUUUUAACCACUAAUUCAGAUUUUCUUCUUAUCUUCAAUUCUUAAUAUAUAUAACUACUUCACACUUACUCUCAUUCACCAUAUCCUCACAAUUUCCUCAACUUUCAUUUCAUUUUCGUAAUUCAUAGAAGUAUAUUAUGGAUCAAUACAAUUUUUCAUUUUCGGAGAGUUGGUUAGUUGGGAACGAUGUUGCUAAUGAUGUUCCUUGUGGGGAGAGCAGCUCAUACAUUGGGCGUGAUUACACAGCCGAAUUUACGACUGACCAGACAAUGAACAUGAUUCAGAAGCAGGUACAACGCACUGAUAACGAACCCUCCUACGAAACCGGCCUUUGCUUUUGUAAAAUUAAAAGGACACACAGAUUGCCAUGCUUUCAUAAUAUUGCACUUCACCGUUCUGUGGAUAUGCCAAUUCCGCUAAGCGCUAUCUAGCUUCAUUGAAGUACGUUGUCCAUGCACGCCCAGAGGCAUACUGACGGGGGAGCACGAUCCGACAGGGCAGCUCAGCUUAUUGAAAGAUUAAAUGAAAUGGAUUCUGACAGUCGAGAGUCUAUGAUGGACAGGUUUCUUGAUAUGGCGGAUCCAUCUCGUUGCACAGUUCGACCCCUAGCAUACAACACAGAACACAGGGGUCGACCUACAAGCAGAGAUGAGCAGAAUAGAGGUCGCAUACCUUCCUUCACAGUAUCCACUUCAGAAUCUUGGGCUUCAGGUAUUCCAACAUCGCGAAGGAGAAAUGGGAGGGAUCACCUCGUUCAGAAAUUUCUUGAGCAGUAUCAGUGUUAUAUUUUCCACUGUGUUGACGUUCGAUCCGACGGUCAUUGUGACUUCAGGGCGAUAGCCAUGCACUUUUGGUUCUGAAGAUGAAUGGGCUCAAGUACGACGGGACCUUAUCCAAGAGAUUGAACAAAACUGGAUCAUGUACAAUCAGCUUUAUCCAGAACGUGAUUAUAUAUACCAGGUGCUACAAAGACUUCCAACCAUCGGCACCAGAGGAUCAUUAGAUGGAUUCUAUACCAUUGAGACUUGUCAUCGCACCAACGUACAACAUUGUACUACAUACAUUCGAUAUAAUUGCUUCGAGUUGUCUUACUCACUUGCCGUUGACCUCCCAUACAGUUCCAUUCGCAGAGCGCAAACAUAUAGCUAUUUGCAAUGUUAAUGGUAAUCACUUCGUGCAAGUUUUCCUAUACUCUCAUUACCAUGUACCACCCAUCAUCAAAUGGUGGAGGCAAAAUGCAUCAGUUGAAGUACGUGGAUGGACUCAUUCUUAUGAAACACGUCUCCAAUUGGGGUACGAAGCAAUGGAGAUAGAUCUUCCGGGACAGCGACCACAAUUUGACGAAAAUUUUGACUAAAUUUGUGUAUUUAUUUAUAUUUAUGUAUUGUUUCUAUAUACUCAAUUAUAAUUAAAUGAAAUUUGAUUUCAGUUUGUAUUAUUGAUGAUUGUUCAGAGAAAUAUAAAGUAAAUUUAAGUGGAUUCAACAUACAUAAUUUACUUAAAAACUCAAAUAUAGAAGUUUUAAAAACAUGGACAAAAAAGUAAAAACAAAGAGAUAAUAUAUUGGGCCCAAAAAAAUCAUUUAAUUUAAACACAUUAUUUCAUAUUAAAUAUUAGACUUGUUUGAUAGAUUUCGUUUAGUAGAUUUUAAAAAUAUAAAAUUUAUUAAAAAAACUACGUGAAAAAAAAUUAUUAGCAUUUAAAAUUUUAUAACAAAAAAAAAAACGAGAGAGAUGGGGGGUAAAAGGGGAAAGGAGGGGCCCAGGUCGGAGGUCGGGGGUUCUGACACCUAUAGAAUAAGGUCACAACACUCCAUGUUUGGAGUGUUUAGAUCGAACAUAUACACAUAUCAGAUGCCGUUGAUUCUCGCGAGAGCCCACUUGGUUUUUUUAUUUAGAAUUUUUGGACGGUUCGGAUUGGCCGUCCGGUGGCCGGAAUGUGCCCUACGGGCUGUCGAGAUUCCGAUCGAAAUUUUAAGUCGGGAACCGUAUCAUUAACGUUGAAGAUAAUGUGUCAAAAAGUGAGAAGUCAGUCUUUACGUCCUCAGCAUUAUUGGAGAUGAUAACGUCACGAGUGGCACAUGUAGAUUUGGACAAAGAUUAAUAAUCGUCCCUCACGUUUUGGGUACAGUACUAGGAACUAUGGAGCACGGGUACCGGUACGCGGUACGGGUACGGUACAGGUACGGGUACGGGAAACGGCAAAACCCCAAAAAAGUAGGGUACGGGUACGGCAGGGGUACGACACAUUUAUUUUUUAUUAUGUUUUAUAAUUUUAAUAUGCUUGAGUUUUUAUGAAUAAUGUAUAACUCAUGUAUAAUCAUAUCAUUAUAUUAGUUAUAAUUUUUUUUUUAUAUUUCUUAAUAAAAUACAAAUCUAAAAGAGACCAGGGGUUGAAGUGCAAACUUUCAUAUAUUUAGGGACCAGAUUGUUGCAUAUGUUAAUGUCUAAGGACUGGAGUGUAAUAACCCUUUAAAUAUACGUAUGACUCUGAAUUAGGGAUCAGAACUUCACAUAGCCGACUCUCCCUCUGACUCUCGCCGUCGACUCUCUCUGUGACUCUCGCCGUCGAUCAUCAUCAUCGUCCGAUGUCUCUCUCUCUCGUCAUCACCAUCAAUCAUCAUCUCGCCGUCGCCAAAGUCUCUCUUCUCC
Long non-coding RNA from Rhododendron vialii, 2874 nucleotides. RefSeq lists it as uncharacterized. NCBI's taxonomy places the organism in Eukaryota, Viridiplantae, Streptophyta, Magnoliopsida, Ericales, Ericaceae. The transcript has 2 exons. The record is from RefSeq and is a predicted model, not a curated record.